Nomascus leucogenys (northern white-cheeked gibbon) is the source of this 2222-nucleotide long non-coding RNA. RefSeq lists it as uncharacterized. The transcript is spliced from 4 exons. Lineage: Eukaryota; Metazoa; Chordata; Mammalia; Primates; Hylobatidae. The record is from RefSeq and is a predicted model, not a curated record.
AGGGGAAAUGCUGGAAUGGUGGGAUGUGUCUAAGUGGUCUAACCAAACUGUAAUCAUGACACUCCUCUCUGCCUGACCUUUUCACUCCCUACACUCAGUGGUGAGAUAAGAUUUGUCCUUGUGACUUCAGAAGGAUGAAGUUAUUAGGGAGGCUGGCUGGGUAAUUUACUAGAUAUCUGAUUUUGGGAAAGUCACUUAACCUCUUUGUGCCUUGGUUUUGUCCUCAAGGGCUGUUGUGAAGUUCAAGUGAAAUAAUAAAUAUUACAAUGCUUAGGGAACUGCAGAAGCUAUUUGAAUGUAUGGUUUUAUACUUAUUGUUUGUGUGUGUGUUGGGGGGAGGUGAAGUCAGGGGUUCCUUGCCUCUUCUCCCGUGUUUCUGAUCUUGCCUUCAGGUGAAAUUGUGCCUCAGACUGCCUUCCCUGACUUCCAGGAUUCCUCUAUGUUGAUAAGGGAGAAAGAUUUUCUGCUCAGAUGUGUCCACAAUUCUGGUGGGCAGGAUUACAGUUCCUUCGAGGCAAAGGACUCAGUUCUUCUUGCUGCUCCAUCACGUCCUCGCAGCACCUGAUCUAAACAGUAUACUGAAUUGGAAACCCAUUCAAUCUGAUGUCUGCUGAGGAAUGAAGAAGGACCACUGGUGAUUCCUCCAUCCUCACUCCUGUGUCCCUCCUUGCAUUGCAAGUGCUUUACAAGUCUUCCCGAUAGACCAUGAGCAUCCUGAGGGCUGGUAUCAAAUUUAACUCAUCUCCUAUCCUCAGUGCCUCGUACAAGAUGCUGGAUGUAGGAGGAGUUCAUGCCCUCCAUUGCUUGACUCAACUGGAAAUCAGAGAGGGAGCCCUUUGGUAAAGUUCAAACAGGUCAGGCUCCAAGGACACAGAGCUGGUGAUGAGGGGUUGAGAAUGGAUCUGGGAGAACAAAUGGGAGAUAGAUACUUCAUUAUAUUAGGUAAGAAAUAAAAAGUGGAACAACAACCUGCACCCAUCUGACAACAUACACAUUUGGGAACAAGAAGACGAGAAGGAGAGUAGAGGCAGCAUUAUAUUUCUGACUGCUUGUUUGGUUGCUGGGGCAGCUUAAGUGUUAUUGCUAAACCAAGUCAUCAGUAUCUCCUCUUCACGACUGUCUGAAAACAUGCAGCUUUGCUGUUAGCAGGAUCGGACUUCACAGGGUGCCCAUGAAGUUGACCUCAAUGGCCUGUCAUGCCUUGGUCUUCUAUAGGCCACUUUUUAAUUCCAUCACCAGAUAAAGUGGCUUGGAGCUCCUAUCCUAUCUACAGUGGGCAGUCCAGUGCCCUCUUGAAGACUUAAGGGGAUUCAUGGCACAGGUGACUAUGAUCUCCUAUAGUUUCUUGUUAUAAAUUUUGGCUUCUUGAUCAACCAGUUCACACUUAGGCCUCUUGGGACGUCCCCCCUGCCUCUCCCCACUCUGUCCCAUUUAUUGACAGGAGUUUUCUUCAUUUAGAGCAUCGCUGAUGGAAGGCAGCUAUGUAUAUGUAGUAGACUCUUACUAAAAAUUUAGGGAUGACUACAGGGAUUAUGGCAGAGAACAGGAACCAACCUAAAAUGUAAACUAGGUUACUAGACGUCUCAAAAACUGCCAGCCCUACCCAUGGGAAGUCCUCACUCACUGUAUUUACAUUCAGGUCCUACUUACAGACAUGUUUUAUUGGAUCACAACUGCAAAAUUCCUGUUACUUUGUGUGCAGAACUCUUUUUUUUUUUUUAAAGUCCUACCCAUCCAGAACAUUGUAGGAGGCCUUACUAUAGACAAAGUUUCCAUUUUUGUGAAUAGUCAACAGUCUCUGAAUUUUAUUCUAAAAAAAGACCAAUCUAGCAUCAUACUAAGAGUGGGAAUCUGAUUGGAUAAGUUUGACAUCAAAUUAUUACUAUAUUACUACUACAAUUGCUAUUAAAAUUACUAAUGUUAUAAACAUAAAACAAUUGGGCAGUUUUAUGCCAUCUUAGCCUAGAGCCUAUGAGCACAUGCUCUGAUCCCUGAUCUGAAGCAUUUUGGGGUGGGCAACAGAGUGGAACUGUGGAUGUCACAGAUAUGUCACUCACAUUAAUCUACUUGGUGUGAUUUCCUUAGAAGGGGCUGUGUGUAUGGCAUAUAUUCAAAUUUUCAGUCUGUGCUCCAGUUGGGUAUGCCUGGUCUUUAAGAGGAUGAAACCGAUAUCCUGACUAAGGGCUCAAUCAUUUGCUUAAUAAAUGGAUGGAGGAAAACCA